RNAcentral lists this microRNA precursor (86 nucleotides) under Daucus carota subsp. sativus. Its description in RNAcentral is "pre miRNA mir-160". It matches the Rfam family "mir-160 microRNA precursor family". From Rfam's summary of the family: The hairpin precursors (represented here) are predicted based on base pairing and cross-species conservation -- their extents are not known. In this case the mature sequence is excised from the 5' arm of the hairpin. The record is from Rfam by way of RNAcentral. Lineage: Eukaryota; Viridiplantae; Streptophyta; Magnoliopsida; Apiales; Apiaceae.
AUAUGCCUGGCUCCCUGUAUGCCGCACGUAGUAUCAGUCUCUUGCAGACUGCCUUCUCCGGGUGGCAUGCCGGGAGUUGAGCAUAU